CAGCCGCCGCGGUAAAACCGAGGGUGCAAGCGUUAAUCGGAAUUACUGGGCGUAAAGCGCGCGUAGGUGGUUCGCCAAGUUGGAUGUGAAAUCCCCGGGCUCAACCUGGGAACUGCAUCCAAAACUGGCGAGCUAGAGUAUGGUAGAGGGUGGUGGAAUUUCCUGUGUAGCGGUGAAAUGCGUAGAUAUAGGAAGGAACAUCAGUGGCGAAGGCGACCACCUGGACUGAUACUGACACUGAGGUGCGAAAGCGUGGGGAGCAAACAGGAUUAGAUACCCGCGUAGUCCCUGUCUCUUAUAC
This 301-nucleotide ribosomal RNA is filed under the name uncultured bacterium. RNAcentral describes it as "partial 16S ribosomal RNA". It matches the Rfam family "Bacterial small subunit ribosomal RNA", at positions 509 to 807 of the family's 1533-position model. The record is from RNAcentral.